GUCAGGAGUCUUAUCAAACAUGUGAAGUUUGGGGCAGAUUGGACAUUGUAUGUCUGAGUUAUAGCAACUUCAUUUUUCAUGGCGAAUCAUCGAAAUUCGUCAGGCCGCCACGGACACGCUCUUCAACGAAAACUCAAGAUCUUCGCAAUUUAACAUCGCAAAGGCCUUUAGAUUAGGCAUACCAAAUUUGGUGUUGAUCUGAAUAAAUCUCUAGGAGGAGUUCGUUAAAAUACAAGGCAUGCAAAUGACAAAAAUGAUGCAAAAUUUGCUCAUAAAAUUAAAAAUAACCGACUUCCUGUUGGGUUUCGGAUAUUGCUCCAAGAGUCUUUUUUGUAGGUACUGAUGCCUUACAUAUGUGUGCCAAUUUUCGUGCAUGUACGUGAAACACAGCUCGAGGGCUGUUGAUUUUUUUACGGUAGGUGGCGCUGUCGAGCCAUUUUGCCACACCCUCUUCUGAAACCUAUAUCAGACGUAAAUUUUCACCAGGUCUGACGCGUGUGCAAAGUUUCAGGACUUUUCGAGCAUGUUUAGGCCCUCAAAAAUGCGAUUCAUUUUGGAGAAGAAGAAGAAGAAGAAGAAUAAUAAUAAUUAAAGCUGCAAGCAGCGAUGAACGGGCCCUCGCACCCGGG
Molecule: long non-coding RNA, 629 nt
Organism: Cyprinus carpio carpio
Lineage: Eukaryota; Metazoa; Chordata; Actinopteri; Cypriniformes; Cyprinidae
Source: Ensembl